Molecule: ribosomal RNA, 28 nt
Filed under: Pisolithus tinctorius
Lineage: Eukaryota; Fungi; Basidiomycota; Agaricomycetes; Boletales; Pisolithaceae
Description: partial 17S ribosomal RNA
Source: RNAcentral
GUGAACCUGCGGAAGGAUCAUUAGCGAA